RNAcentral lists this ribosomal RNA (934 nucleotides) under uncultured bacterium. Its description in RNAcentral is "bacterial SSU rRNA". It matches the Rfam family "Bacterial small subunit ribosomal RNA", at positions 52 to 976 of the family's 1533-position model. The record is from RNAcentral.
CACAUGCAAGUCGAGGGGAAACGACAUCGAAAGCUUGCUUUUGGUGGGCGUCGACCGGCGCACGGGUGAGUAACGCGUAUCCAACCUGCCCACCACUUGGGGAUAACCUUGCGAAAGUAAGACUAAUACCCAAUGAUAUCUCUAGAAGACAUCUGAAAGAGAUUAAAGAUUUAUCGGUGAUGGAUGGGGAUGCGUCUGAUUAGCUUGUUGGCGGGGUAACGGCCCACCAAGGCAACGAUCAGUAGGGGUUCUGAGAGGAAGGUCCCCCACAUUGGAACUGAGACACGGUCCAAACUCCUACGGGAGGCAGCAGUGAGGAAUAUUGGUCAAUGGACGAGAGUCUGAACCAGCCAAGUAGCGUGCAGGAUGACGGCCCUAUGGGUUGUAAACUGCUUUUAUAAGGGAAUAAAGUGAGUCUCGUGAGACUUUUUGCAUGUACCUUAUGAAUAAGGACCGGCUAAUUCCGUGCCAGCAGCCGCGGUAAUACGGAAGGUCCGGGCGUUAUCCGGAUUUAUUGGGUUUAAAGGGAGCGUAGGCCGGAGAUUAAGCGUGUUGUGAAAUGUAGAUGCUCAACAUCUGCACUGCAGCGCGAACUGGUUUCCUUGAGUACGCACAAAGUGGGCGGAAUUCGUGGUGUAGCGGUGAAAUGCUUAGAUAUCACGAAGAACUCCGAUUGCGAAGGCAGCUCACUGGAGCGCAACUGACGCUGAAGCUCGAAAGUGCGGGUAUCGAACAGGAUUAGAUACCCUGGUAGUCCGCACGGUAAACGAUGGAUGCCCGCUGUUGGUCUGAAUAGGUCAGCGGCCAAGCGAAAGCAUUAAGCAUCCCACCUGGGGAGUACGCCGGCAACGGUGAAACUCAAAGGAAUUGACGGGGGCCCGCACAAGCGGAGGAACAUGUGGUUUAAUUCGAUGAUACGCGAGGAACCUUACCC